UGGGGGAUAUUGCACAAUGGAGGAAACUCUGAUGCAGCGACGCCGCGUGAGGGAUGAAGAUCUUCGGGUCGUAAACUCCUGUCGAAUGGGAAGGAUGUUUCGUGGAUGAAUAAGCCGCGAAAGUGACGGUACCAUUAAAGGAAGCCCCGGCUAACUCCGUGCCAGCAGCCGCGGUAAUACGGGAGGGGCAAGCGUUGUUCGGAAUUACUGGGCGUAAAGGGCUCGUAGGUGGCCAACUAAGUCAGACGUGAAAUCCCCAGGCUCAACUUGGGAACUGCGUCUGAUACUGGAUGGCUCGAAUUCGGGAGAGGGAUGCAGAAUUCCAGGUGUAGCGGUGAAAUGCGUAGAUAUCUGGAGGAAUACCGGUGGCGAAGGCGGCAUCCUGGACCGAGAUUGACACUGAUGAGCGAAAGCUAGGGGAGCAAACGGGAUUAGAUACCCCGGUAGUCCUAGCCCUAAACGAUGAAUGCUUGGUGUGACGGGUAUCGAUCCCUGUCGUGCCGAAGCUAACGCAUUAAGCAUUCCGCCUGGGGAGUACGGUCGCAAGGCUG
This 551-nucleotide ribosomal RNA is filed under the name uncultured Acidobacteriota bacterium. RNAcentral's name for it is "bacterial SSU rRNA". It matches the Rfam family "Bacterial small subunit ribosomal RNA", at positions 355 to 896 of the family's 1533-position model. Lineage: Bacteria; Pseudomonadati; Acidobacteriota. The record is from RNAcentral.